This 254-nucleotide ribosomal RNA is filed under the name uncultured bacterium. RNAcentral's name for it is "partial 16S ribosomal RNA". It matches the Rfam family "Bacterial small subunit ribosomal RNA", at positions 524 to 776 of the family's 1533-position model. The record is from RNAcentral.
GACGAACCGUGCGAACGUUAUUCGGAAUCACUGGGCUUAAAGCGCGUGUAGGCGGCUCGGCGCGUCGGCAGCUGAAAUCCCCCGGCUCAACCGGGGAAGGGGCGCCGAUACGGCCGGGCUGGAGGGGGGUAGGGGGCGCUGGAACUCACGGUGGAGCGGUGAAAUGCGUUGAGAUCGUGAGGAACGCCCGCGGCGAAAGCGAGCGCCUGGACCCUUUCUGACGCUGAGACGCGAAAGCCAGGGGAGCGAACGGG